Molecule: ribosomal RNA, 486 nt
Filed under: uncultured bacterium
Lineage: Bacteria
Description: bacterial SSU rRNA
Rfam family: Bacterial small subunit ribosomal RNA
Source: RNAcentral
GACGAACGCUGGCGGCGUGCCUAACACAUGCAAGUCGAACGAAUCAGAUAUUCAACACUGAGUAUUUAGACGAAGGAAAAAAGUUAGCCAGCGUCAAGGACGAGCGAUAGAGAGUCCUUUACGCGUUCAAAAAGUGUGCUAACACAUGAUAGUCUGAAUGUUGAGUGUUGAAUAUCUGAUUAGUGGCGGACGGGUGAGUAACGCGUGGGAAACCUGCCCUAUACAGGGGGAUAGCCUCGGGAAACUGGGAUUAAUACCCCAUAAAACUCUAGUAUCGCAUGAUACAUGAGCCAAAAGAUUUAUCGGUAUAGGAUGGUCCCGCGUCUGAUUAGCUAGUUGGUGAGGUAACGGCUCACCAAGGCGACGAUCAGUAGCCGGCCUGAGAGGGUGAACGGCCACACUGGAACUGAGACACGGUCCAGACUACCUACGGGAGGCAGCAGUGGGGAAUAUUGCACAAUGGGGAAACCUGAUGCAGCGACGCCG